UUUUUCUUUUAAGCAUACACAUCGCAGAGCCUUUACAAUCAACGGCUAGUAGGGUAGAUUGACAAGUCACCAUAACACCACAGUUGCCAUCACCCACUGCCACCUUAUAACGGGAAUGCCACCUCGAGUGAAGGAACCGAACCAGUUUUAACUUACCAGACGGAGUGAUGCAAUGGUUCAGAACAAAGUCAACUAUUGCACUAUCCUUCAUUAGAGAUCAAAUCUAUCGCCUCGGUUCAUUUAAGGUCUUCCCCUCGAAAAAUUCACCUAACAUCCUUUCCAGAUCUUCUGCCGAAUACUUAAUGUACUUCUGGGGGUUCUUCCCGCUCUCAACUAGAAGCCCAAAACGUUUCACAAAAGAUCUGUAGGCAGGUAACAAGACUUCAGCAACUGCAAGCCUUAGUGACUCUCGCAACUCAGUGUCAGGAACAGUCCACUGAGAUUGUUUCUGGUGAAGCUCCUCGAAUUGCAUAUUGAAAGUCUUGAACCUGUCUUUAACCAAUCCUCUUGAAGCUCCACUUCCACUUCCUCCCUCACCAGGUACUUGACUACCACCCCCAGAAGAGGUUAGGCCUUGUGCAGAGAGACAUUGAAGAAUCUUUGCCCAAGCAUUCCUUUUGUACUGAUUUGCAUAUUGCUGCACAAUCCUUCUGUGUCUUUGGACCCAAUCAUCCCCUAACAAGUCCUUGGCUUCAGAUCUGCGCACAGAUCUGACCAUGUAGUGAAUAUUGUUCAUAAGAAACAAGUACGUCAAAGCUGGAUCUUUAUACUGCUUAGAUUUCCCAUCAAGAUUAGUUUGAAGAGCCUGCAUUAUUCGCAUUGUCACAGAAGCUAAUUGCGAAUUUGAUUCAGCUCCGCUUUCAAAUUCUUGGAAGAGUUGUUCCAAGGUUGAUUGGUAGUCAAAGAGAAACUUCACAUAGUUAAUCACAUAGCUUGUCAAAGGAUGAACAGUUCCAUCCAAUACAGCAGUUUUUGUUGCAUCUUUUUCAACUGCUUCUUCAAAAUCACCAAAUGUUUCUUGAGCAGUUUGUGCGAGCCGUUUAGUCAAACCAAAUGUAGAUUCCCUAAUUUCAGUGCAAGCUUUACCGUUGAAAACUGCCUCAAUCUCUGAGUGAAGUUCUCGCAUAAUCUCAUACAUGUCUAGAAGUACAAAUAACUUUUCUGGCGAUCUCUUGCUUCUGGCAAUUGCAUCGCCAAAGCUAAGAAGCAUUGAGACACUGCUAGUGGUACAUCCAGCAAAACACUGAUCAUGCAGUGUAUCAAACCCAUCAAAUAUUUGAUCACAAACUCUUCUUUCUCCAGCAAAAAGGACUUUGACAGCAAUGCGCAUAAAAUGAAUCCAAUUUCCAAUCUUUGCCUCUAACACCUCCCAUUGCAUCUUUUGCACAUCCUCUUUGCUUAGUUUUUCAACCCCCAACUUGUGAAGGCUUUCUUCCAAAACUGAAGAUCGGGUAUCCCCAUAAAUUUGAAGUAACUGCUGCUGGUGCCCAGCUUGAACCAUUUGUUGGGCUAAAUCAUGCAACAAAGGUAGAAUCCUUGGAGGUAUGAGAGUAAGAUGUUUAAAACCCACAGUUUCAGAAUUUUGCAGCUCAGAAUGAUUAUUAGCGGAAUGAAUUUUGCCACCAUCAUGGUUUGCAGGUGAUCCUGUAGAUGGUUGCAUGGACUCAGGGAGGCAUUCAAAAAGGCGAUCAGGCUCCACGGGCUUGCUGUAAGAUGAUAACAGCUGCUUAAACUCCUCUUCUAGCUUCAAAAUAGCUUUAGCAAGUAAAUUAUUUGCAUUAUUGAGCACUGCCUCACUGCUCUUAUAGCUUUUGUUGCUGCUGAAAAAACGAAUGUUGCUUCUUAGUUGAUCAAUUGCUGCUAGAUAACUUUCCAAGUCCUCAUGAGGUCCCCUAAGUAUUUUAGCCUCUGCCUGCCGAGAAAUAUCAAAUUGCGCCAAUAUAACCUCCGCAGCCUUUAAAGUCCUGUCAAUAUUCUCGUGAGCUUUCCUUAUAGAAUGUGUUCUUAUCUGAGUGGGACGCAUAGCAGUCUCGAGAGCGGAAAGGCGGCUGUCAAAGGACCCAAGAAUGGAGACAACGUUAUCAGUAAUAGUUUGGCUCUUUUGAAGAGCCUCUCUCAUCUUUGCCGCUCUGUCGCCGAGUGAAUCCAUGCCCGUCACUGAAACAACCAUGUUUCUUUCUCUCUUGCCUGCUCCUGGUCAGCAGAAGAAAGAGAGAGGAGAGAAUUUAGGCGAAAGAGGAAAUUGAGAAGAAGGAGGGGCAG
RNAcentral lists this unclassified non-coding RNA (2262 nucleotides) under Hevea brasiliensis (rubber tree). The record is from RNAcentral. Lineage: Eukaryota; Viridiplantae; Streptophyta; Magnoliopsida; Malpighiales; Euphorbiaceae.